ACGCGAAACCGGCCACGGCCGGUCGCCCGAGGGUGGUGCCUCGGGCCUGAUGAGCAGCCAACC
RNAcentral lists this non-coding RNA (63 nucleotides) under Desulfuromonas sp. The record is from RNAcentral. Lineage: Bacteria; Pseudomonadati; Thermodesulfobacteriota; Desulfuromonadia; Desulfuromonadales; Desulfuromonadaceae.